GGGGGGGGGGGAAGGGGUGUUGAAAGAAUGUAACACAUUCAAUUUCAUAUUCCAUAAUAGGUAACUGAAAAUAAGUUAAGUUAGGGGGAAAAGGAAACAAAAUUAAUAAAUCACCCAGUUGAAGAGUUUGAUACUCCCAAAUAUGAAUAAGGCAACUUCUUUAAUUAAACCCACAAAUAAAAUGAGAGGAAAUAACACAUUCAGAUCCUCAAUAAAAAAAUCAUUUCAAACGAUAAGCGACCACAAAAUUUCAAAUUCACAUUAAAUCAAGAAAUAAACUCUUUAAUUCCCCAUCUAUCCAAUAUAAAACUUAAAUCAAGGGGGAAAGAGAAAGGAAAAAGAAAAGAAUCUUGAUGUGGAUUCAUUGCAAAAGA
This 374-nucleotide unclassified non-coding RNA is filed under the name Hevea brasiliensis (rubber tree). The record is from RNAcentral. Lineage: Eukaryota; Viridiplantae; Streptophyta; Magnoliopsida; Malpighiales; Euphorbiaceae.